Molecule: ribosomal RNA, 471 nt
Filed under: uncultured bacterium
Lineage: Bacteria
Description: bacterial SSU rRNA
Rfam family: Bacterial small subunit ribosomal RNA
Source: RNAcentral
UGGGGAAUUGUUCACAAUGGGCGCAAGCCUGAUGACGCAACGCCGCGUGGAGGAUGAAGGUCUUCGGAUUGUAAACUCCUGUUGCUCGGGACGAAAAGCUUCGACCUAACACGUCGAAGUCUGACGGUACCGAGUUAUGAAGCCCCGGCUAACUCUGUGCCAGCAGCCGCGGUAAUACAGAGGGGGCAAGCGUUGUUCGGAAUUACUGGGCGUAAAGGGCGCGUAGGUGGCCUUCUAAGUCGAACGUGAAAUCCCUGGGCUCAACCCAGGAACUGCGUCCGAGACUGGGAGGCUUGAAUCCGGGAGAGGGAUGCGGAAUUCCAGGUGUAGCGGUGAAAUGCGUAGAUAUCUGGAGGAACACCGGUGGCGAAGGCGGCAUCCUGGACCGGUAUUGACACUGAGGCGCGAAAGCCAGGGGAGCAAACGGGAUUAGAUACCCAAGUAGUCCCUGAGCGGGCUGGCAAGGCGCAU